CAAGAAUACAGACUACAUUAGCUCCAGUGCUUUGCAGGUCAGUACUUUGGCCACUUGAUGCGAAGAGCUGACUCAUUAGAAAAUAAGACCCUGGUGCUGAGAAAGAUUGAAGGCAGAAGGAGAAGGGGACAACAGAGGAUGAGAUGGUUGGAUGACAUCACCGACUCGAUAGACAUGAGUUUGAGCAAGCUCCAGGAGAUGGUGAUGGACAGGGAAGCCUGGCGUGCUGCCGUCCAUGGGGUCACAAAGAAUCAGACACGAUUCAUGAGACCCAGCCUUCAAAAGGAUACCUGCCAGUAGAACCCUCAACUUUUAGAAGAUAAAGUUUGGAAGGAAAACACAACUGUGAAGACUUCUGUGUGACCUGGAAAAUGUAUCCCCCUGGGCUUUAGUUUCCUUGUCUAUGAAAUAAAGAGAUCGGAAUAAAAGACUGUCUAAUGCUUCUAGUUAAAAGAUUUUAUAAUUGGAUAAUGAUCAUCAAACAGAAUUCAUUAACACUGAGUCA
Molecule: long non-coding RNA, 505 nt
Organism: Dama dama (fallow deer)
Lineage: Eukaryota; Metazoa; Chordata; Mammalia; Artiodactyla; Cervidae
Exons: 3
Source: RefSeq, a predicted model, not a curated record